CCCUGGGCUCCUCCCUUGCUUUGGGGGUGGUGGUUAGUGUGCUGCGAGGAGGGUGUAGCAGCAGGAACAGGGUGGGAAACAAAUGGGAGAUGUGACGGCUACAGAAAGGAUGGAGUUUCUGGAAUCUUUGGUGUGGCCUCCUCUUAAAGAAGACACCUGAUGGUGCCAGGGGAAAAAGGAGAUAUUGCUUCUGUGUUUAUCUGUAUGUGCUCUUGCCUCCACCCUCAACAAUAACUAGAGACCUAACUGAUCGUAGAUCAAUGGUGAGGAGAGGAAGAAUAAUACUCAGACAUAGAGGGAGAAAAGACAUGUGCAGAGGAGAACACAGUGUUAAUUGGGACUUUGCAUUCUGAGG
Long non-coding RNA from Peromyscus eremicus (cactus mouse), 355 nucleotides. RefSeq lists it as uncharacterized. The transcript is spliced from 3 exons. The record is from RefSeq and is a predicted model, not a curated record. NCBI's taxonomy places the organism in Eukaryota, Metazoa, Chordata, Mammalia, Rodentia, Cricetidae.